ACAGCAGGGGGAGCAAGAUGGAGUCACAGACCCAGGUCCUCAUAUCCCUGAUGCUUUGGGUGUCUGGUACCUGUGCAGACAUCGUGAUGACCCAGUCUCCAUCCUCCUUGGCUGUGUCAGCAGGAGAGAAGGUCACCAUUAGCUGCAAAUCCAGUCAAAGCCUUACUUUAGUAGGCUUAAACUUCUUGUCCUGGUACCAGCAGAAACCAGGGCAAUCCCCUAAGCUGCUGAUCUAUUGGGCAUCCAAUCGAUACACUGGGGUCCCUGAUCGCUUCACAGGCAGUGGAUCUGGGACAGAUUACACUCUCAGCAUCAGCAGUGUGCAGGCUGAAGACCUGGCAGUUUAUUACUGUAUGCAGGGUAAAAGUACUCCUCCCACAAAAAAUCAGCUCCUUUUCAUGAGACUGGUGGUGAAAAUUAAGUCUCAUGCUGGGGACACUCUCAUCAACUGUCACCCGAGCUUCAGAGUAAUUUAG
This is a non-coding RNA of Meriones unguiculatus (Mongolian gerbil), 476 nucleotides long. The record is from the annotation of a RefSeq genome assembly. NCBI's taxonomy places the organism in Eukaryota, Metazoa, Chordata, Mammalia, Rodentia, Muridae.